Molecule: unclassified non-coding RNA, 293 nt
Filed under: uncultured bacterium
Lineage: Bacteria
Description: partial contains 16S ribosomal RNA and 16S-23S ribosomal RNA intergenic spacer region
Rfam family: Bacterial small subunit ribosomal RNA
Source: RNAcentral
AUCAAUGGGAGCUUGCUCCCUGAGAUUAGCGGCGGACGGGUGAGUAACGCGUGGGUAACCUGCCUAUAAGAGGGGGAUAACACUUCGAAAGGAGUGCUAAUACCGCAUAACAUCAGAUGGUUGCAUGACCGACUGAUCAAAGGAGCAAUCCGCUUAUAGAUGGACCCGCGUCUGAUUAGCUAGUUGGUGAGGUAAAGGCUCACCAAGGCGACGAUCAGUAGCCGGCCUGAGAGGGUGAUCGGCCACACUGGGACUGAGACACGGCCCAGACUCCUACGGGAGGCAGCAGUGGG